AUCCAUGCCACUGUUUGAAAUUUUGUCUGACCUGUGGAUUAAACAGUUUUGGAGUGCAGCUUGGCUUUGAAAGAAUAGGCAAGAUUUCUGUCUCAUUAUUUAGCUUGCAAGCCCAAGAAAUUUGCAUUGGCCCUGUUGCCUGUCUAUCCCAUAACAGUCUCUGUGGAUACACACUGUUUUAUUUGCUGGCCCAAAUAUAUGCAACUCCAUCCCUCUCUCUAUCUAUUCCUUUACUUACAACAACACUUCUUUUGGUUAUCAAGGUGCAUCUGGGCCCACCUGCAUCUGAAGACAGCCCCCUCACCCUUGAAGAUGUCUUCCAACCUAACUUAAUGAAGGCCAGUCUCCAGGCUUUCCCCAAAUAUGCAAUCAAGUUAAAGGGAUGUUGCUUCAGCAAGUCACAGGCAAAAAUGCCUAUCACCCUGCAUUCUGUGGAGGCCCUGCUUUGAAUCACCAAUGCCUCUGGCUAGUUUCCAAACCCCUCCCAAGCCUCCUCUGCUUCCACCCCACGAGCCUGGACUGUGGCCACCACACCGUGUUCACACAAUCUUGUCAACCAGUGAGUACCAGGGCUUGGUGUCAGGGGGCUACCUCCUUCUUAGACACUGAGCUGAAACAACACUGAAGACUACUUUUUGAUCCUAUUCAUCUGCCUCAUCCCUCCUGCUGGGUCUGUACCCCUGCAGGAAAGAAACUUUUUCAUCUGUCUGCCACCUCCCACAUACACAC
This is a long non-coding RNA of Bubalus bubalis (water buffalo), 729 nucleotides long. RefSeq lists it as uncharacterized. The transcript is spliced from 3 exons. The record is from RefSeq and is a predicted model, not a curated record. NCBI's taxonomy places the organism in Eukaryota, Metazoa, Chordata, Mammalia, Artiodactyla, Bovidae.